Octopus bimaculoides (California two-spot octopus) is the source of this 3594-nucleotide long non-coding RNA. RefSeq lists it as uncharacterized. NCBI's taxonomy places the organism in Eukaryota, Metazoa, Mollusca, Cephalopoda, Octopoda, Octopodidae. The record is from RefSeq and is a predicted model, not a curated record.
UUGCAUGUGUGUGCGGAGAGAAAAAAGUGGGGAGGUCAGCAAUGGAGGAUGGGGAGUGGUAAUCAGAAACUGGUCAGAGUAUGUGUGUGUGUGUGUGUGUGUGUGUGUGUGGUGAAUGCUUUGCUACAUUCUACAUAACAGAGCUGACAAAAGAUGGCUCCCAGGAAUCUAUUCAUGUCUAAACUAUGAAACUGAAUAUAAUAAUAAUAAUAAUUAUUAUUAUUAUUAUCAUGAUGAUAACAAUAAUAAUAACAACAAAUUAUUUAGGUGUUGUAGCAGAAAAAAAAUUCCAUUAGCUUUUCACAUCUGUCCAAAUGAAUACUGUUUAGCAUUUUCAUUGUGUCUCUCUUUCACCACACACACACAACUUAGUUCAAACAUUGUUUAAUAUAUAUGUAGGUGUUUUUAUGUGUAUAUACAUACAUGCACAUUAUUUCCUUUAUAAUCUUUUACUGGUUUCAUCCAUUGAACCGUGACCAUACUGGGGCACUUUUUUCAAUUGUUUCAGUCAGUUAUACCAGCCCCAGUACUUACCUCAGUCUGGUACUCAAUAUUAUUGAUCUAUAGUUGUCGAGCAGCUAAGUCACACACACACACAAUGGGCUUACACGCACACACACACAAUGGGCUUACGCACUGUUUUCUCUACUAACAGAAGACACUGGAUCAGGUACAACGAAAUGUGCUCAAGCCCAGAGCCUCACUGUUGUGAAGCAACCGUCCUACCACAUGGCUACGUCUGCACACACCUUAAACACAAUGUGUGAAGCAGGAAAGAAGUCGAGUUUUCCUUUGAGACAAUUCUUUAAUACUGACAACAAAAAAAGUGAGAAAGAGAGAGACACACACACACCAGUGUAGCAGUUUCAAUUCCAAUCUCGCAUAGUGGUAUACAGGUACAAGAAAGAAUGAGAACAUAAAUCUAAGAAGGGCAGAAAGUAGGAUGAUGAGUUGUUGAGAAAAAAAUAAUUCCCUAAAGCCUUCAAGGUGCUGCCCCUGCAUGGCCACAAUCAAAUGACUGAAAUAAGUGAAAGAUAAAAGAUGCUAUCAAUGAGAGAAAGAUGUCAGAUAAUGCUACAGAAAGUAGAAACAACUGUUGGUUGUAAAGACGACAAAGGACUUAGUGAUUCUUAAGCAACAGGCCUGUCACCCAGUUGUUUCCCAACUGGUUUUAUUUCCACAGUAAUUCAAGGUGCAGGUAUGACUGUGAUAAGAAGCUUGCUUCCCAAUGACGAUGGUUCCGGGUUCAGUCCCACUGCAUGGAAUCUUGAGCAAGUGUCUUAUACAAUAGCCUUGGACCAACCAAAGCCUUGUGAGUGGAUUUGGGAGAUGGAAACUGAAAGAAGCCCACCAUAUAUGUACGUACUGGCAGUACCAAUGUGACAGACCCCAGUCUACAACAGGAAAUGAAAAGACACAACAUGCUUGUAGCUCUAGCAGGCAGCUGCAGCAACUUAGAGAUAACCACCUGCUUCUUGAACACAACGAAAUACUUCACCUUUCAAAGUCAAGAACAUGUACAAUAUCACAACACAGUACCUCAAAUGUGCCAUACCACCUAGAUAAUGUAUACCAGGUAAAUGGAAAUAAAAUAAAAGAAAAAUGCCUAACAAAAAAAAGUAGAAGAAAGAAAUAGGUUUUCAGAAAAGUGAUACACAUGUUCAACUAGAUAUUUUCUUUGAUUUGUUUCAGUCAUUGAACUACAACCACGCUGGGGCACAACCUCAGUUUUAGUUGCACAAAUUGACCCUAGUACUUACUUUUUUUAAAGUCUGAUAUCUAGUCUGUCAGUUUCUUUUGCUGAACUGCAAGGCUACAGGAGUAAACAAACACCUGAUGUCAAGUGUGUGUGGGGGUGGGGAGGAGAACACAUACACACGCACACACACACAGACGAGAGGCUUCCGCAAAGUUACCAGUGAGUAAAUUCACUCACAAGGAAUUGGUCAGCCCAACACUAUAGUAAAAGACACUUGCCCAUGUUGCUAUGCAAAGAGACUGAACCUGAAACCACACAGUUGCAAAGUAUGCUUGUUAACUACACAGCCAACCUACACUUUGAUACAUCUAAAUCUUUGGCAUUUGAACUGGCCAUAUCCAGCCCAAAUAUUCCACCUGUUUUAUGCUCAAACUGGCCAGAUCUGGCCUCUGACAAAGCAAACAAUCACAGCAUUGAAAUCUUGAAACUUCAAGAUAAUGCCUGACUAAUCAAAAGCAACAGGAAUAAAUAAGCAAACCAUUUGAUUGAGUAAUCUGAAUGCUAAAGGGUAAAAAAAAAGCCACAGUCUAUAAAACCACUCUCAACCUCAGUGAUGACCUUGAGGCUGUAUGCUAGAAUAACUUGGUUCUCAUUCAAGUUACCUAUCAUAUCCACAAGGGAAAUCUUUGAAUGAACCCCUGGUAAAGCUAUUUGGUCUUUCUUUCAGCUACUUCCAAAAGGAAUAUGUCAUCUGUGACUAGGAGAGAGAGAAACAUUUUCAGCAAUUAGGCAUUGUCUGGAUGGCCAAGUUUGUCCAGCAGAUCGACUCAAUCAGAGCUAUUGCCAAGCAGCUCAAAGUGGAGGAGUCCACUUUAUGAUGCAUACUGAAUGAGGACAUCAUGUAAAAAUCCUACAUGAGAAGACAGCCCAUGUGAUCUAGUUGAAACAGAAACUGAGCAAGCUUGAGCACCCCAAGAAACUCAACAUGGUCUGGUUCUUCACCGAUGAGAACUUCAACCAGGACCAGAAGGUGACAAGGCGGAUCAACAGAUGGUUCUGUAUGGACACCAUGGAGGUACUCUUGAUUACACACAAAGUUCCUGUUGUUUCUGAUUGUGCUGAGUGUUGAGAGUAAUUAGAGCCAUGCCAUACUGUCUCCCUUUUUUCCCCUACAAAGCUUCAGGGCCAGUGUCACUACCUUAUAUUGUGCAGAACACAAUCGUCAAACCAUGGAUUUAAGAGUAGUUCAAAGAAGGCCAUAUGUGUUCCAGCAGAACCCUGCUCCCUACUACAUGAGCCUCUCAAUCCUGGAAUAGCAAUCUAAGAGGUUUUAUGAUCAUGUGACAAUACGUAGAAUCACUGGACAGCUGAAUCUGGAGCAGCACUGAGAGAAAGCUAAACUAGCAGCUCCACUAUAUAAAGGGUUUGCUGAAAACUGCCAUUGUAGGUAUGAUGGAUAACAUGCAACAAGAAUCACUCGAUCCUGGUAGACAGUUACUUCCAUGGCAGCAUUGAGACCAUUAUAGAGACUGAGAGUGGUUUUAUAAAAUAAAACCAGAUUGUUUAAUGCAUCUAGUUUAGCACGUUUCGUUUUUCUGAAAGUAAUUUUGCUUUCAAUUUAAUAUCUUUGUUUUUUCUUUUAUUUUGUCUUCAUUUACCUUAUUUAGUAAGUAGAGUACAUUCCAAAACCUUUGGUUUCAAAGCUCUUAUAGAGUAUUGAUUUUUCUGAACCAGGGGUUGUCACCUCAGUCAAAACACUUUAAAUUAAGCAAAUCCUAAAUUUAUUUAAAUUAAAUGAAAUUCAAGUACCUGUAGACUGAAAUAAAUUAGUGCACAGACAAUCUGUGUCUGGAAAGUCAGUGUAGUGUCUGUAUUAUAUUUUGAUGUGGUACGUG